CCAGAUGAGUACAGGGGGAGGAAGGAAUACAUAGCUAGGAGCAGAGGAGAAGCUGGAAGAAAGAGAUCUCCUAAUGUAUUGCUGCUAUAGAAGGAUGACUAAAUCAUCAGCUCCAGGAACUGCAGUCUCCUGCCUGGUUCCUGAAGACCCUUGUCAGAAUGCAACAAAUAACUGGGGACAAGUAAGAACAGAACUGAUGAAAUAAUUUGGGCAGAACCAGGGAUACAAGGAUUAUCCAGUGGCUACAGGAUGAGUCUACAAGUGCAAAACUCAAGCAGUAUUCCACCAAAGACAACCAAAGACGGUUUGAGGCAAGCCACUCAUCAGAAAAAUGAGUAGAUAACACAGCCUUAUCUCACCAGGAUCUGGCACUCACAACAGCACAGACCAAGAAUUCUAUUAUUCUUUAGCAUUCAUGAGGAUAGCAUUAGCAGGGAAUAUUUGUUUUAAAGAAAACAAAUCUUUUGUUAAAGAAAGAGCCCAUCCCUGGCAAGGCUUAAUCUUCCACAUGAGAAAGGCCUACAUGGAGUUCUAUUAUUUAAUUGAACAGAGAGAUGCCAAUUCUUCAAAAUGUCUGGUUUUAAUAGAAUUCAGUUACUUCAACAGCUAGCUUACAUUUGUAUUCAGUAGUAUUUAGAGAAUUACAUCAACUAACAAAAAUGGUAAGAUACAAUGUGCUUUUAAUUAAUUGGUCCUCUGCAGCUUCUUCUGUGUUUGGUACCAAACAAAACGCUACAAGGGAAACAGUCCAGAGAGGAACAUGUUCAUACUAUGGCAGAGACAGGCAGAACAGGCACUUUGAGAACCUUUGGCAGAAAACAGAAAAAAAGUGAAAAUACACAAAGGAAAUACACAAAGAUCAAAAAAGGAAAUAAGAGUCAUGAAAUUUCAGCAAUGUGCUCAUGUCCCUACAGUUUGUUUCUUCUUGCAAUAAACUAAGGAUACUCACUGUCAAAAGAAAAGGAAAAAAAAGGUUACAUAGGGAAUGUUCUAGUUUACUGCUGCUUCUAAGAAAUUCAGGAAUGCAUGUCAGAGUACAGACAUUCGGAUUUGCUAAUUUAAUUAGAAUUUAGAACUUUCAUCUAAAAUAAGGAAUAUCCACCAUGUGCCUACAAAAUAAGCAUCACAUUUUUGCUGAAUCAUUAAAAUAUAUUCAGGUAGUUGGGCAAUUGUACACACUACCAAAACAACCCUAUUGAGUCAUUUGUUCAGCUCUCUUAACUGUUUAUUACACUUCAUAGGAGCAGCUCAAUCAAACAGACAAAAAGGAUGAACGGAUGAUGCCAGAUAUUUGGAAUUUGUGGCCUGCUUGGGGUAAUGAAUCGAAGAAACUGAGAGGCCAGGAAUGAUUAUUAAAAAUUCAGUUUAACAAUGCAGAAUUCAAUCAGCAGUAAAGUAAAACGCAAGGUAAAACACUCCAAAAUACAUUUCAAAUUAAAAUGUUUUUUUUCUUUUUAACUAUUUGUAGACCAUUGAAACAGAGCAGUUAACAGUGGUAAGAAAUUAAUAAACAUAUUUCUAAGCCUUCUGAAAACAAAAUCUCAUUUAAAAAUUGGUCUCUCUAAUAGCUGUAUGGUUUGUGGUAAAACCACCACUUUCCAAAACUUUUCUCCAUAAGUGUAGUUUUAAUAAGUACAAUGCUUUCACAACCAGCUUUCAAUUAUGAGCUGUCUAAAAAAACAUCUGGGAUCGCAAUGAAGGAAACCCAAAAUGGUGAAGCGGACAACAAUGGAGGGGGAGCCAGCAAACCAGGGAUGUGUUCCUCUUUUCUGGUGGCAACAGCAACAUCUAAGCCAGAUACUUCAUCUCACUGUGGUCCUCCUUCCAUCCAUUGUCUAUGCAGUUUAACUGGAUAAAUGCUACCAUAUGCCAGGUGUGGGACAGAAGAGAGGAACUCUACCUUCUUCCUCAAAUGGAGACAUUUGAUAUGAGGACAAUCUCUGUAUUCACAUUUGUAUACAUUUGCUGAAUAAAAACCGGAAGGAUAGGAAGGGCAGAACAAGCAAAGGCUACAGCAGCUCUAAGCUAACUUCCAAAGCUUGAUCUCAUCAGUCUUGCACAAUACAACUCUAAACACAAAGAUGAGAACUCAAAAUAAUCCUAGCAGGACUACAAGGAAGGGUAUCCGCUAUCACACUAAUGACUAGAUACAGAUCUCCAAGGGGGCAUGAUGAUUUUCUUUUUAACUGUCACAUCCUCCCCUCCCUUGCCAUACAGUAGUUAACAACACUGAGAAUAAUUUUGGUUUUCUUCUACACACAGUGAAAAAAUAGAUUAUCAGCUUGCAUUUCAAAAGUCCUUCCAGAACCCUCUAAUAAAAUGGACUAUUGAGGAAACAGUUUGGAAAUCUGUGGCAUGGGACCUGUGUAUUCCCCAAGGACUGGAAUAGCCCUUCACACAGUUUUACCCUAACUGCCUCCCUCCCCAAAUCCUAACCAACACUUCACAUGAUUCUUCCAAAAGCACUAUUUAAAUAUCUAUCUGAAAUCGCUUCCUUAAUUACUCACUCAAGCUCAUGCAUGUUUAAAAGAAGCUUAGUAGAUGAGCCACCUCUCCUGGGCUAUACUGAGCCAAGUUUAUGUAGGCAAUGACUGUCCUAUACUGCCUCUAAUCUCACCCCACUGCAUUUCCCCCAGAACAAAUUAUUAUACAUGCAUGGAGUAUCUGUCAUCUGUCAAUGAAGAUUCUCAGGUUGUGUUCUGCAAGACAACAGAAGUAGAAAAAUCAGAGCACCACUUUUAUAAAGCAUACCAGAAGAGUCAGGGAAGUUAAGCAUUCCUUUAGGGAAGAAUAAACUCCAGACUUUUGCACUUCCUUUACGCACCCCAGUUGAUCUGAGCACUUAUCAAAGAUCUCUUUUUAGUAACAUGAUACAACUCGUGUCUUUUCAUUAAAGCAAAGAAAUGCAUAAAAUAGCAAUGAAAAAAAAAUUCAAGUUGAAAAUAAAAGUGUCUUAUUACAAUAACUUAAAUAAGGGGAACAAGUGAAAAUGAAGAAGAGAUACUAUCAAGAAAGAAGCACACAUGAAGAACCACCUCUGAACUGGGGGAUAUAGCAUCCAGGGGAAAAACAGAAGCAGGAAGGUCUGCAACUGCAAAAGUCUAUUCUCUGCAAGAGCUUAAUAUUACCCCUUUUUGCACCAAAUGAGGCAGAAAUCCUGAAGAGAAAAAUACUUUAUGAAAAGAGUCAUGGUUAUGAACAAAGCAGCUGAAUUAUGGUCAGACAGUUAUAAUAAUGACUUGGGGGGGGGGGUUGUUACAUGACUGAUUUCAUGUUUGUUUUGAAUGCUCUGCUUUUAGGUAAUUCUGGUUUUACUACUGAAAAACAAAACUAUAAAAUUAUGCUCAUCCUCUGCUAAAUAAAACAUUUGCAGCUUCCCUUAAAUGCUCCACUUGGCUCUUAAACUGCAGAAGGAUUAUUAAUCAUCUCCUGUUCAAGCAGAACAAUUGACAAGGGGAAAGGAGUGAUGUCCACAAAGCCGGAUGAGAUAAAAUAUUAAAUUACAGUGGGAAUUUACUUAAUUUUUCCUGCAGCAGCUUUGCAUGUGCACCCUCACAACUUCUCUCUAAGAGCUAUCUUACACUUACUGCAGGUUAGGAGCAUGCACACAGGCAAUCACAGCAAAGCAGCUGGCAAACUAGCUUCCAUCUGAACUGAUCCUGUUCCUUUACACGUCUCUGUUCGUGAGUUCUUAACAUUUAUUGUCGAGCUUGCAUCUCGCUACUUGUGCCCACUAUGCUAUCAGGGGCAUCUGCUACUCACCGUUUGUCCUCACAUCACUGAGAAAACUUCAAAAUACCUUUCCACAGUUUCCUCAAUAGCUCCACCAUUUUUCCUCUCAGCAGUCCUCCCCAACUAAUUCUUGUAGUGUCUAUGCAGAAAUCAGGUUAACAAAUCCAGCAGAACUAAUUAAACGGGGCUCAGCUCAUGCUACAUCACACUUUACCUUUGAAUUUUGGUAUGCCUUAGAGGUAGACAAAUCCCUUUUGUAAUAAAUAAAUAAAUAAAUAAAAGGGCCUUUACUUGGAAACCUUGUUUGAAAAAGUCAAAGCUCACCCUACUACUCUUCAAUUAAGGGAGGGAGAUGAGUCUCCAAUAGUGUUUCCUAACAUGUUUUGCUAUAAAACUGUACUUCAAACUUCCUCCCAUCUCAACUAGAUAACAAGCUUUUCCUUCAAUAAAAUAUAAUUAACUGUACAGCACUUCAUUAAACCAUUUCUUUCAAAAACCACCACUCCUAUGAAAUGAGAGGAAACAAACAUUCUGCAAUCCAGAUAGCAUCCUUUCAAGUCAAGACCCUUAACUUUAGGAAAAGUACUGCUGGUGAUCUGAGCUCUUGACUUGCCUUUCUGUGUGCCCACCACAGCACAUUCUUUAGCUGCAAGGUCACUUGAGAAGGUGAUUAGCCUUCCUUGUUUGGUACAGGAUGAAUGAUGCUCUCCUGCCUGUCUAGACUGAAAUUUGAUGGAAUGCAGUUACCUCUGCACCUCAUAUUCCCACACCUCACGGAAGUGAAGCAAGCCCCACUGUUAUCAAUUAAGCACUGAAACUAACUGCUUUAUGUAAUUGCCACAAAGGAAUUUACAAUCAGAUUUCAUCACAUAUGUCAUCCUCAUUUGUUAUUAUAUAUUUCAGCUAAAAGUAAUAACUGUAUGUGGCAUUCCUAGAUUAUUUUAAACUAUUUAGUUGCAAUUAUAUGUUGAAAGCACAUCAGUAACAUAAAGGUAAAUUAAUUAAAUGCUUAUUCUAACCAUCCUAAAAAGAAUAAUACAACCAAGGGCAGAGAAGGGUGGGCAAAUCUAGAAGAAUCAAGACAUAAAUAUCUUGUCCUGUAAUAACACUGUUAAACAUGCAGUCAGCGUGUCUACUUUUAUCUGGAAAAGCAAGGAUAUUGCAAUGGGCUUACUUCUCAGUGUUUCUUAAUAGUCACACCAAAAUGCCUGAUCUCCAAAAACCUGUGUCAAGUUCAAAGAACUAAUUGUAAAUUUGUCUAAAUGAAUAAAUUAUUAAGAAUACUACUAAAAAGGCUGAUGGGAUUACACCAGCUUUUUAUAUAAUAAGCACCUGAAAAUAGAAUAUAACUCUACUGAAAUUAAUUGUCCCACAGCGAUUCUGGUUUUAAGCUUAUAGCAUGAACACAAAAAUAUGUGGAAAAAAAACAAACAGUGGAGAGGUUCAUAACUGGCAUCACUUAAGCAAAGAAAGGGAAAAGUAACGUAUUUAAAUUUCCAUUUAAAUACAGAGCAUUCACAUAAAUUUUAAUUUUCCCCUCAGCAAUCAGAUACAGAAGACAAGUUAGCUGAUACAGCAAUAAGUUCAGUAUUUAGAAUUAUCUUGAUUAACUACAAUUAGAAGGCUGGCUAAAGGCUGUUGAUGUCUCUUGCUUGGUUUUUAUUUUGCAUUAUAUGCAUGAACAUAUUGCAGGAAGAUUGGAAGUGGUAUAUAACAGCGUCAUUACAUGUACGUCAAAUCCUGGUGUCUGAAAACUACAUUUUAAGAUUUGAAGUUGGCAGAAAAGAUACCAUAUGCAAAACAAAUACAUGAAACCUGCCACCAAAGACAAGCUCUUCUUGUUAGCAGUAAAGCAACAUUAAAACAUAGGUACUAUUUGUAAAACUCCAUCGCCAUUCAAUCACUUUAAUUAAGCAUUACCUAAGACACUGCACUGAUUUUCACAAAUAUUUAACAACAAUUUUAGGAAAGAUUAAUUCUAAGCAAAUGGAAGGAGGUAAAGUCAUAAAAAGGAUUCAGAUUCUAUGCAAAUUCUUAUUUCAGUUAGUAUAACUGUGGAUUAUUCAGGUUCUUUGUAUAAAGAUUUGCAUUAUUUGCCACAUAAAAACAUUUUCUAAGUGUUAAAAUUUUAGUUUUUAUCUGUUUCUUUACACUGCCAGUUCAAAUAAAAAAAGCUGUUAUUUUGAUGGGUACUAGCCACACACAGUGCAGUUCAGACACAGUUCUAGAGGAUAUAUUCUGGAUUUACUGGCAAUUCUAGAUGCUUUCUCACUCAGCUAGUGCAAGCUUCUUUUUGUAACAGGACAUGCAGAAUGUGUAAGAGUGUAAGACCUGCCCUGUGUGCUACACACAUUUCACCAUUCUUCCCAAUUAGUCCCUCAAUUUUUAAUGAGACUCUUAAUUAACUGUGGAGCUUUUUGACCUUACCACCAAUCAUCUUCCCUUGGUUCAGUUUCGUUUACAACAUGUUAAAAGCCCAUUCUUUAUUUCUCUGCAUGUCUAAUGUUCUCAACCCAGCUCUUUUGUUACUAACCCUUCUUCCACCCCUCCAAAACCAGUCAAGAAAAUCAAGUUGUCCAUGAUAUCACUUUGGUAUCCGUCUCCUUUUGCAGACCUUCACUUGCUUCAAGACGAAGGGCUUUGUUUUGAUGACUGCUUCAAAGUACAUGUCAUCUGAAUAGUUGCUUUCACAUUUAACUCUUCAAUUCCUGAGAGCAACCCAAUUCAACAUCCAUUUUACUGCAUUCCUGCUUCAACACCUGUAGAUUUCCUCAGUGAAGUGGCUUCUGCUCCGAAUAUGCUUGCCAGUCUCAUAUAUUAUGGCACUACUUACUAUUCAAGUGUCUUAUUAGUACCCUUUUUUUUUUUAACCUGCACAG
Molecule: long non-coding RNA, 6611 nt
Organism: Athene cunicularia (burrowing owl)
Lineage: Eukaryota; Metazoa; Chordata; Aves; Strigiformes; Strigidae
Exons: 4
Source: RefSeq, a predicted model, not a curated record